GCUAUGUUGGCCGGGCGACGGUUGUCCCGGUUUAAGCGUGUAGGUGUGUGUUCCAGGUAAAUCCGGUUCACUUUAACACUGAGGCGUGACGACGAGGCACUACGGUGCUGAAGCAACAAAUGCCCUGCUUCCAGGAAAAGCCUCUAAGCAUCAGGUAACAUCAAAUCGUACCCCAAACCGACACAGGUGGUCAGGUAGAGAAUACCAAGGCGCUUGAGAGAACUCGGGUGAAGGAACUAGGCAAAAUGGUGCCGUAACUUCGGGAGAAGGCACGCUGACACGUAGGUGAAGUGAUUUACUCAUGGAGCUGAAGUCAGUCGAAGAUACCAGCUGGCUGCAACUGUUUAUUAAAAACACAGCACUGUGCAAACACGAAAGUGGACGUAUACGGUGUGACGCCUGCCCGGUGCCGGAAGGUUAAUUGAUGGGGUCAGCGCAAGCGAAGCUCCUGAUCGAAGCCCCGGUAAACGGCGGCCGUAACUAUAACGGUCCUAAGGUAGCGAAAUUCCUUGUCGGGUAAGUUCCGACCUGCACGAAUGGCGUAAUGAUGGCCAGGCUGUCUCCACCCGAGACUCAGUGAAAUUGAACUCGCUGUGAAGAUGCAGUGUACCCGCGGCAAGACGGAAAGACCCCGUGAACCUUUACUAUAGCUUGACACUGAACAUUGAGCCUUGAUGUGUAGGAUAGGUGGGAGGCUUUGAAGUGUGGACGCCAGUCUGCAUGGAGCCGACCUUGAAAUACCACCCUUUAAUGUUUGAUGUUCUAACGUGGACCCGUUACCCGGGUUGCGGACAGUGUCUGGUGGGUAGUUUGACUGGGGCGGUCUCCUCCUAAAGAGUAACGGAGGAGCACGAAGGUUGGCUAAUCCUGGUCGGACAUCAGGAGGUUAGUGCAAUGGCAUAAGCCAGCUUGACUGCGAGCGUGACGGCGCGAGCAGGUGCGAAAGCAGGUCAUAGUGAUCCGGUGGUUCUGAAUGGAAGGGCCAUCGCUCAACGGAUAAAAGGUACUCCGGGGAUAACAGGCUGAUACCGCCCAAGAGUUCAUAUCGACGGCGGUGUUUGGCACCUCGAUGUCGGCUCAUCACAUCCUGGGGCUGAAGUAGGUCCCAAGGGUAUGGCUGUUCGCCAUUUAAAGUGGUACGCGAGCUGGGUUUAGAACGUCGUGAGACAGUUCGGUCCCUAUCUGCCGUGGGCGCUGGAGAACUGAGGGGGGCUGCUCCUAGUACGAGAGGACCGGAGUGGACGCAUCACUGGUGUUCGGGUUGUCAUGCCAAUGGCACUGCCCGGUAGCUAAAUGCGGAAGAGAUAAGUGCUGAAAGCAUCUAAGCACGAAACUUGCCCCGA
RNAcentral lists this ribosomal RNA (1343 nucleotides) under Salmonella enterica. RNAcentral describes it as "partial 23S ribosomal RNA". It matches the Rfam family "Bacterial large subunit ribosomal RNA", at positions 1481 to 2802 of the family's 2925-position model. The record is from RNAcentral. Lineage: Bacteria; Pseudomonadati; Pseudomonadota; Gammaproteobacteria; Enterobacterales; Enterobacteriaceae. RNAcentral also lists the same sequence under 1 other name.